ACAGGGUGACAGCCCCGUACACAAAAAUGCACAUAUUGUGAGCUCGAUGAGUAGGGCGGGACACGUGGUAUCCUGUCUGAAUAUGGGGGGACCAUCCUCCAAGGCUAAAUACUCCUGACUGACCGAUAGUGAACCAGUACCGUGAGGGAAAGGCGAAAAGAACCCCGGCGAGGGGAGUGAAAAAGAACCUGAAACCGUGUACGUACAAGCAGUGGGAGCACGCUUAGGCGUGUGACUGCGUACCUUUUGUAUAAUGGGUCAGCGACUUAUAUUCUGUAGCAAGGUUAACCGAAUAGGGGAGCCGAAGGGAAACCGAGUCUUAACUGGGCGUUAAGUUGCAGGGUAUAGACCCGAAACCCGGUGAUCUAGCCAUGGGCAGGUUGAAGGUUGGGUAACACUAACUGGAGGACCGAACCGACUAAUGUUGAAAAAUUAGCGGAUGACUUGUGGCUGGGGGUGAAAGGCCAAUCAAACCGGGAGAUAGCUGGUUCUCCCCGAAAGCUAUUUAGGUAGCGCCUCGUGAAUUCAUCUCCGGGGGUAGAGCACUGUUUCGGCAAGGGGGUCAUCCCGACUUACCAACCCGAUGCAAACUGCGAAUACCGGAGAAUGUUAUCACGGGAGACACACGGCGGGUGCUAACGUCCGUCGUGAAGAGGGAAACAACCCAGACCGCCAGCUAAGGUCCCAAAGUCAUGGUUAAGUGGGAAACGAUGUGGGAAGGCCCAGACAGCCAGGAUGUUGGCUUAGAAGCAGCCAUCAUUUAAAGAAAGCGUAAUAGCUCACUGGUCGAGUCGGCCUGCGCGGAAGAUGUAACGGGGCUAAACCAUGCACCGAAGCUGCGGCAGCGACGCUUAUGCGUUGUUGGGUAGGGGAGCGUUCUGUAAGCCUGCGAAGGUGUGCUGUGAGGCAUGCUGGAGGUAUCAGAAGUGCGAAUGCUGACAUAAGUAACGAUAAAGCGGGUGAAAAGCCCGCUCGCCGGAAGACCAAGGGUUCCUGUCCAACGUUAAUCGGGGCAGGGUGAGUCGACCCCUAAGGCGAGGCCGAAAGGCGUAGUCGAUGGGAAACAGGUUAAUAUUCCUGUACUUGGUGUUACUGCGAAGGGGGGACGGAGAAGGCUAUGUUGGCCGGGCGACGGUUGUCCCGGUUUAAGCGUGUAGGCUGGUUUUCCAGGCAAAUCCGGAAAAUCAAGGCUGAGGCGUGAUGACGAGGCACUACGGUGCUGAAGCAACAAAUGCCCUGCUUCCAGGAAAAGCCUCUAAGCAUCAGGUAACAUCAAAUCGUACCCCAAACCGACACAGGUGGUCAGGUAGAGAAUACCAAGGCGCUUGAGAGAACUCGGGUGAAGGAACUAGGCAAAAUGGUGCCGUAACUUCGGGAGAAGGCACGCUGAUAUGUAGGUGAAGUCCCUUGCGGAUGGAGCUGAAAUCAGUCGAAGAUACCAGCUGGCUGCAACUGUUUAUUAAAAACACAGCACUGUGCAAACACGAAAGUGGACGUAUACGGUGUGACGCCUGCCCGGUGCCGGAAGGUUAAUUGAUGGGGUCAGCGCAAGCGAAGCUCUUGAUCGAAGCCCCGGUAAACGGCGGCCGUAACUAUAACGGUCCUAAGGUAGCGAAAUUCCUUGUCGGGUAAGUUCCGACCUGCACGAAUGGCGUAAUGAUGGCCAGGCUGUCUCCACCCGAGACUCAGUGAAAUUGAACUCGCUGUGAAGAUGCAGUGUACCCGCGGCAAGACGGAAAGACCCCGUGAACCUUUACUAUAGCUUGACACUGAACAUUGAGCCUUGAUGUGUAGGAUAGGUGGGAGGCUUUGAAGUGUGGACGCCAGUCUGCAUGGAGCCGGCCUUGAAAUACCACCCUUUAAUGUUUGAUGUUCUAACGUGGACCCGUGAUCCGGGUUGCGGACAGUGUCUGGUGGGUAGUUUGACUGGGGCGGUCUCCUCCUAAAGAGUAACGGAGGAGCACGAAGGUUGGCUAAUCCUGGUCGGACAUCAGGAGGUUAGUGCAAUGGCAUAAGCCAGCUUGACUGCGAGCGUGACGGCGCGAGCAGGUGCGAAAGCAGGUCAUAGUGAUCCGGUGGUUCUGAAUGGAAGGGCCAUCGCUCAACGGAUAAAAGGUACUCCGGGGAUAACAGGCUGAUACCGCCCAAGAGUUCAUAUCGACGGCGGUGUUUGGCACCUCGAUGUCGGCUCAUCACAUCCUGGGGCUGAAGUAGGUCCCAAGGGUAUGGCUGUUCGCCAUUUAAAGUGGUACGCGAGCUGGGUUUAGAACGUCGUGAGACAGUUCGGUCCCUAUCUGCCGUGGGCGCUGGAGAACUGAGGGGGGCUGCUCCUAGUACGAGAGGACCGGAGUGGACGCAUCACUGGUGUUCGGGUUGUCAUGCCAAUGGCACUGCCCGGUAGCUAAAUGCGGAAGAGAUAAGUGCUGAAAGCAUCUAAGCACGAAACUUGCCCCGAGAUGAGUUCUCCCUGACCCUUUAAGGGUCCUGAAGGAACGUUGAAGACGACGACGUUGAUAGGCCGGGUGUGUAAGCGCAGCGAUGCGUUGAGCUAACCGGUACUAAUGAACCGUGAGGCUUAACCUUACAACGCCGAAG
This 2595-nucleotide ribosomal RNA is filed under the name Shigella sonnei. RNAcentral describes it as "bacterial LSU rRNA". It matches the Rfam family "Bacterial large subunit ribosomal RNA", at positions 359 to 2925 of the family's 2925-position model. Lineage: Bacteria; Pseudomonadati; Pseudomonadota; Gammaproteobacteria; Enterobacterales; Enterobacteriaceae. The record is from RNAcentral.